RNAcentral lists this ribosomal RNA (434 nucleotides) under uncultured archaeon. Its description in RNAcentral is "bacterial SSU rRNA". It matches the Rfam family "Archaeal small subunit ribosomal RNA", at positions 19 to 458 of the family's 1478-position model. The record is from RNAcentral.
GGACCUGACUGCUAUCGGAUUGAUACUAAGCCAUGCGAGUCAUUGUAGCAAUACAAGGCAUACGGCUCAGUAACGCGUAGUCAACCUAACCUAUGGACGGGAAUAACCUCGGGAAACUGAGAAUAAUGCCCGAUAGAACAUUAUGCCUGGAAUGGUUUAUGUUCCAAAUGAUUUAUCGCCGUAGGAUGGGACUGCGGCCUAUCAGUUUGUUGGUGAGGUAAUGGCCCACCAAGACUAUUACAGGUACGGGCUCUGAGAGGAGUAGCCCGGAGAUGGAUACUGAGACACGGACCCAGGCCCUAUGGGGCGCAGCAGGCGAGAAAACUUUGCAAUGUGCGAAAGCACGACAAGGUUAAUCCGAGUGGUUUCUGCUAAAGAAACCUUUUGUCAGUCCUAGAAACACUGAUGAAUAAGGGGUGGGCAAGUUCUGGUGU